This 493-nucleotide ribosomal RNA is filed under the name Pantoea sp. M_5. RNAcentral's name for it is "partial 23S ribosomal RNA". It matches the Rfam family "Bacterial large subunit ribosomal RNA", at positions 2390 to 2925 of the family's 2925-position model. Lineage: Bacteria; Pseudomonadati; Pseudomonadota; Gammaproteobacteria; Enterobacterales; Erwiniaceae. The record is from RNAcentral.
CGAGCAGGUGCGAAAGCAGGUCAUAGUGAUCCGGUGGUUCUGAAUGGAAGGGCCAUCGCUCAACGGAUAAAAGGUACUCCGGGGAUAACAGGCUGAUACCGCCCAAGAGUUCAUAUCGACGGCGGUGUUUGGCACCUCGAUGUCGGCUCAUCACAUCCUGGGGCUGAAGUAGGUCCCAAGGGUACGGCUGUUCGCCGUUUAAAGUGGUACGCGAGCUGGGUUUAGAACGUCGUGAGACAGUUCGGUCCCUAUCUGCCGUGGGCGCUGGAGAAUUGAGGGGGGUUGCUCCUAGUACGAGAGGACCGGAGUGAACGCACCACUGGUGUUCGGGUUGUCAUGCCAAUGGCACUGCCCGGUAGCUAAGUGCGGAAAAGAUAAGUGCUGAAAGCAUCUAAGCACGAAACUUGCCCCGAGAUGAGUUCUCCCUGACNUGCGUUGAGCUAACCGGUACUAAUGACCCGUGAGGCUUAACCUUACAACGCCAGAGGCGUUU